Molecule: transfer RNA, 72 nt
Filed under: Patescibacteria group bacterium
Lineage: Bacteria
Also listed under: 1 other name
Description: tRNA-Val
Rfam family: tRNA
About the family: Transfer RNA (tRNA) molecules are approximately 80 nucleotides in length. Their secondary structure includes four short double-helical elements and three loops (D, anti-codon, and T loops).
Source: RNAcentral
GGUCGCUUGGCUCAGCGGUAGAGCGUCGCAUUCACAUUGCGAAGGCCGGGGGUUCGAAUCCCUCAGCGACCA